Molecule: unclassified non-coding RNA, 431 nt
Filed under: soil metagenome
Description: partial contains 5.8S ribosomal RNA, internal transcribed spacer 2, and large subunit ribosomal RNA
Rfam family: 5.8S ribosomal RNA (bases 1-120)
Source: RNAcentral
GAUGAAGAACGCAGCGAAAUGCGAUACGUAAUGUGAAUUGCAGAAUUCAGUGAAUCAUCGAAUCUUUGAACGCAUAUUGCGCUCUUUGGUAUUCCGAAGAGCAUGCUUGUUUGAGUAUCAGUAAACACCUCAAAAGAUUUUCAUUUUUGAAAUGAUUUUGGACUUGAGUAAUCCCAACACCAGUCUUCACGGAUCGGCGGAGGGUUGCUUGAAAUGCAGGUGCAGCUGGACAUUCUCCUGAGCUAAAAGCAUAUCUAUUUAGUCCCGUCAAACGGAUUAUUACUUUUGCUGCAGCUAACAUAAAGGGAGUUUGACCAUUUUGGCUGACUGAUGCAGGAUUUCACAAGGGUCGGUAAAACGAUUUUUGUAAAACUCGAUCUCAAAUCAAGUAAGACUACCCGCUGAACUUAAGCAUAUCAAUAAGCGGAGGA